This 322-nucleotide ribosomal RNA is filed under the name uncultured eukaryote. Its description in RNAcentral is "partial 18S ribosomal RNA". It matches the Rfam family "Eukaryotic small subunit ribosomal RNA", at positions 1470 to 1796 of the family's 1831-position model. The record is from RNAcentral.
CCCUUAGAUGUUCUGGGCCGCACGCGUGCUACACUGAGUGGAUCAGCGGGUCAGGUUGCGCGAAAGCGUUUCCUAAUCUUUAAAUCCGCUCGUGAUGGGGAUUGACGGUUGCAAUUUUCUGUCAUGAACGAGGAAUACCUUGUAAGCGCGGGUCAUCAUCCCGCGCUGAAUACGUCCCUGCCCUUUGUACACACCGCCCGUCGCUCCUACCGAUUGAGUGGUCCGGUGAGGCUUUGGGAUCUGAGCGGAAAGAGCGUUUCGCUGUUUCUGCUCGGAAGACUCAGUCGAACCUUAUCAUUUAGAGGAAGGAGAAGUCGUAACA